UCCGAUGGAAAUAGCAGGACUUCCCGCGACGGGGUCGUCCGGUGGAGAGUCCCGAUUGGCCAGACGCAUUUGUCUCUAGCCCGAAGGACGCCGCAGCCGAUCGGGCAGUGCAAGCGCGACGGCCUGAAGGUCGGAUGAUGGCAGGUGGCCGGUGGUUCGCUUCGGCGGAUCGCCGGUUGUUAGCCGUUCCGUCAGUGGCUCGUCGCCCGAUCGAGGUAUCACGAGGCCCUUAUGGGGUUCUCGCGCCUCCUCCCACGGAUGCUGGACGUGCCGUCGCAGGCGAAAGCCGCCGUCCUGUCGCACACCCUCAGUGUGGACUGGCGAACGGCAGGCGCCGCUGGUGGCGGAGGACCAGUCGGAGGUCGGAGGCUCGCGGCGAGUAGGUCGGUCACCCACCCGACCCGUCUUGAAACACGGACCAAGGAGUCUAACAUGUGCGCGAGUCAAUGGGUCUUGAAUAGGCCCAGAGGCGCAAUGAAAGCAAAGGAAGGAUCACUCCUUCCGAGUUGGGAUCCCGAACUCUAUGGUUCGGGCGCACCAACGACCCGUCCUAUGCGGCUCGCCGCUUGGGUGGAGUGUGAGCGUACACGUUGGGACCCGAAAGAUGGUGAACUAUGCCCGGACAGGACGAGGCCAGAGGAAACUCUGGUGGAGGUCCGCA
RNAcentral lists this ribosomal RNA (661 nucleotides) under Oxyopes heterophthalmus. RNAcentral describes it as "partial large subunit ribosomal RNA". The stretch from base 303 to 661 matches the Rfam family "Eukaryotic large subunit ribosomal RNA", at positions 1 to 879 of the family's 3401-position model. Lineage: Eukaryota; Metazoa; Arthropoda; Arachnida; Araneae; Oxyopidae. The record is from RNAcentral.